RNAcentral lists this ribosomal RNA (793 nucleotides) under Fusarium culmorum. Its description in RNAcentral is "partial large subunit ribosomal RNA". It matches the Rfam family "Eukaryotic large subunit ribosomal RNA", at positions 107 to 930 of the family's 3401-position model. Lineage: Eukaryota; Fungi; Ascomycota; Sordariomycetes; Hypocreales; Nectriaceae. The record is from RNAcentral.
GCUCAAAUUUGAAAUCUGGCUUUCGGGCCCGAGUUGUAAUUUGUAGAGGAUGAUUUUGAUGCGGUGCCUUCCGAGUUCCCUGGAACGGGACGCCAUAGAGGGUGAGAGCCCCGUCUGGUUGGAUGCCAAAUCUCUGUAAAUCUCCUUCGACGAGUCGAGUAGUUUGGGAAUGCUGCUCUAAAUGGGAGGUAUAUGUCUUCUAAAGCUAAAUACCGGCCAGAGACCGAUAGCGCACAAGUAGAGUGAUCGAAAGAUGAAAAGCACUUUGAAAAGAGAGUUAAAAAGUACGUGAAAUUGUUGAAAGGGAAGCGUUUAUGACCAGACUUGGGCUUGGUUAAUCAUCUGGGGUUCUCUCCAGUGCACUUUUCCAGCCCAGGCCAGCAUCAGUUUUCGCCGGGGGAUAAAGACUUCGGGAAUGUGGCUCCCCUCGGGGAGUGUUAUAGCCCGUUGUGUAAUACCCUGGUGGGGACUGAGGUUCGCGCUUCUGCAAGGAUGCUGGCGUAAUGGUCAUCAACGACCCGUCUUGAAACACGGACCAAGGAGUCGUCUUCGUAUGCGAGUGUUCGGGUGUCAAACCCCUACGCGUAAUGAAAGUGAACGCAGGUGAGAGCUUCGGCGCAUCAUCGACCGAUCCUGAUGUUCUCGGAUGGAUUUGAGUAAGAGCAUACGGGGCCGGACCCGAAAGAAGGUGAACUAUGCCUGUGUAGGGUGAAGCCAGAGGAAACUCUGGUGGAGGCUCGCAGCGGUUCUGACGUGCAAAUCGAUCGUCAAACAUGGGCAUGGGGGCGAAAGA